GACUCUCAGAAAUGGAUAUCUCAGCUCUAGCAUUGAUGAAUAACAAAGCAAAAUGCAAUACUUGCUAUGAAUUACAAAAUCUCGUGAACCAUCAAGUCUUUAAACGCAAGUUGCACCUCAAGCUAUUAGGCCGAGGGCAUGUCUACCUAAGUGUCA
Gossypium arboreum is the source of this 156-nucleotide ribosomal RNA. It matches the Rfam family "5.8S ribosomal RNA". Rfam says of the family: 5.8S ribosomal RNA (5.8S rRNA) is a component of the large subunit of the eukaryotic ribosome. It is transcribed by RNA polymerase I as part of the 45S precursor that also contains 18S and 28S rRNA. Functionally, it is thought that 5.8S rRNA may be involved in ribosome translocation. The record is from Rfam. NCBI's taxonomy places the organism in Eukaryota, Viridiplantae, Streptophyta, Magnoliopsida, Malvales, Malvaceae.